UGGGGAAUAUUGCACAAUGGGCGCAAGCCUGAUGCAGCCAUGCCGCGUGUGUGAAGAAGGCCUUCGGGUUGUAAAGCACUUUCAGCGAGGAGGAAGGUGGUGAGCUUAAUACGCUCAUCAAUUGACGUUACUCGCAGAAGAAGCACCGGCUAAUUCCGUGCCAGCAGCCGCGGUAAUACGGAGGGUGCAGGCGUUAAUCGGAAUUACUGGGCGUAAAGCGCACGCAGGCGGUUUGUUAAGUCAGAUGUGAAAUCCCCGGGCUCAACCUGGGAACUGCAUUUGAAACUGGCAAGCUAGAGUCUCGUAGAGGGGGGUAGAAUUCCAGGUGUAGCGGUGAAAUGCGUAGAGAUCUGGAGGAAUACCGGUGGCGAAGGCGGCCCCCUGGACGAAGACUGACGCUCAGGUGCGAAAGCGUGGGGAGCAAACAGGAUUAGAUACCCUGGUAGUCCACGCUGUAAACGAUGUCGAUUUUGGAGGUUGUGCCCUUGAGGCGUGGCUUCCGGAGCUAACGCGUUAAAUCGACCGCCU
RNAcentral lists this ribosomal RNA (528 nucleotides) under uncultured bacterium. RNAcentral's name for it is "partial 16S ribosomal RNA". It matches the Rfam family "Bacterial small subunit ribosomal RNA", at positions 355 to 874 of the family's 1533-position model. The record is from RNAcentral.